AUUGAACGCUGGCGGCAGGCCUAACACAUGCAAGUCGAGCGGAUGAAGGGAGCUUGCUCCUGGAUUCAGCGGCGGACGGGUGAGUAAUGCCUAGGAAUCUGCCUGGUAGUGGGGGAUAACGUCCGGAAACGGGCGCUAAUACCGCAUACGUCCUGAGGGAGAAAGUGGGGGAUCUUCGGACCUCACGCUAUCAGAUGAGCCUAGGUCGGAUUAGCUAGUUGGUGGGGUAAAGGCCUACCAAGGCGACGAUCCGUAACUGGUCUGAGAGGAUGAUCAGUCACACUGGAACUGAGACACGGUCCAGACUCCUACGGGAGGCAGCAGUAGGGAAUAUUGGGCAAUGGGCGAAAGCCUGACGCAGCAAUGCCGCGUGUGUGAAGAAGGUCUUCGGAUUGUAAAGCACUUUAAGUUGGGAGGAAGGGCAGUAAGUUAAUACCUUGCUGUCUUGACGUUACCAACAGAAUAAGCACCGGCUAACUUCGUG
RNAcentral lists this ribosomal RNA (484 nucleotides) under uncultured bacterium. RNAcentral's name for it is "partial 16S ribosomal RNA". It matches the Rfam family "Bacterial small subunit ribosomal RNA", at positions 30 to 507 of the family's 1533-position model. The record is from RNAcentral.